UACGUAGGGGGCUAGCGUUGUCCGGAAUCAUUGGGCGUAAAGAGCGUGUAGGCGGCCCGGUAAGUCCGCUGUAAAAGUCAAAGGCUCAACCUUUGAAUGUCAGUGGAUACUGCCGGGCUAGAGUCCGGAAGAGGCGAGUGGAACUCCUGGUGUAGCGGUGGAAUGCGCAGAUAUCAGGAAGAACACCAACGGCGAAGGCAGCUCGCUGGGACGGUACCGACGCUGAGACGCGAAAGCGUGGGAGCGAACAGG
Molecule: ribosomal RNA, 252 nt
Filed under: uncultured bacterium
Lineage: Bacteria
Description: partial 16S ribosomal RNA
Rfam family: Bacterial small subunit ribosomal RNA
Source: RNAcentral